RNAcentral lists this ribosomal RNA (656 nucleotides) under uncultured Legionella sp. RNAcentral's name for it is "bacterial SSU rRNA". It matches the Rfam family "Bacterial small subunit ribosomal RNA", at positions 222 to 869 of the family's 1533-position model. The record is from RNAcentral. Lineage: Bacteria; Pseudomonadati; Pseudomonadota; Gammaproteobacteria; Legionellales; Legionellaceae.
AAGAUUAGCCUGCGUCCGAUUAGCUAGUUGGUGGGGUAAGGGCCUACCAAGGCGACGAUCGGUAGCUGGUCUGAGAGGAUGACCAGCCACACUGGAACUGAGACACGGUCCAGACUCCUACGGGAGGCAGCAGUGGGGAAUAUUGGACAAUGGGGGGAACCCUGAUCCAGCAAUGCCGCGUGUGUGAAGAAGGCCUGAGGGUUGUAAAGCACUUUCAGUGGGGAGGAGGGUUGACAGGUUAAGAGCUGGUUGACUGGACGUUACCCACAGAAGAAGCACCGGCUAACUCCGUGCCAGCAGCCGCGGUAAUACGGAGGGUGCGAGCGUUAAUCGGAAUUACUGGGCGUAAAGGGUGCGUAGGUGGUUUGAUAAGUUAUCUGUGAAAGCCCUGGGCUCAACCUGGGAACUGCAGAUAAGACUGUUGGACUCGAGUAUAGGAGAGGGUAGUGGAAUUUCCGGUGUAGCGGUGAAAUGCGUAGAGAUCGGAAGGAACACCAGUGGCGAAGGCGGCUACCUGGCCUAAUACUGACACUGAGGCACGAAAGCGUGGGGAGCAAACAGGAUUAGAUACCCUGGUAGUCCACGCUGUAAACGAUGUCAACUAGCUGUUGGUCUUAUGAAUGAGAUUAGUGGCGCAGCAAACGCGAUAAGUUGAC